AUUGAACGCUGGCGGCAUGCUUUACACAUGCAAGUCGGACGGCAGCACAGAGAAGCUUGCUUCUUGGGUGGCGAGUGGCGAACGGGUGAGUAAUAUAUCGGAACGUACCGAGUAAUGGGGGAUAACUAAUCGAAAGAUUAGCUAAUACCGCAUAUUCUCUGAGGAGGAAAGCGGGGGACCUUCGGGCCUUGCGUUAUUCGAGCGGCCGAUAUCUGAUUAGCUAGUUGGUGGGGUAAAGGCCUACCAAGGCGACGAUCAGGAGCGGGUCUGAGAGGAUGAUCCGCCACACUGGGACUGAGACACGGCCCAGACUCCUACGGGAGGCAGCAGUGGGGAAUUUUGGACAAUGGGCGCAAGCCUGAUCCAGCCAUGCCGCGUGUAUGAAGAAGGCCUUCGGGUUGUAAAAGACUGUUGUCAGGGAAGAAAAGGCUGUUGCUAAUGUCGACAGAUGAUGACGGUACCUGAAGAAUAAGCACCGGCUAACUACGUG
This 490-nucleotide ribosomal RNA is filed under the name uncultured bacterium. RNAcentral describes it as "partial 16S ribosomal RNA". It matches the Rfam family "Bacterial small subunit ribosomal RNA", at positions 30 to 507 of the family's 1533-position model. The record is from RNAcentral.